RNAcentral lists this unclassified non-coding RNA (237 nucleotides) under Hevea brasiliensis (rubber tree). The record is from RNAcentral. Lineage: Eukaryota; Viridiplantae; Streptophyta; Magnoliopsida; Malpighiales; Euphorbiaceae.
CCCGAGGAUUAUCUAACGGUUGGUGCAAUAAAGUUUUUUGUUGGUCGUUGGUUUGGUUGCUGGGAACUGGCGGAGUAGGAAUGAGGAGGGAAAAUGGAGGAUUUUGCUUUUUCUUUGGGUUUAGUGAUCUUUAUUCAGUUACUGAUACAUUGUGUUAGUUAAUGUAAGCGCAAUUGACGAAGUGAAUAUUAAGGUUUUUUCUUUUUGUAAAUGAUUUUCUUUUUUUUGGGGGGGGGG